This is a non-coding RNA of Oncorhynchus mykiss (rainbow trout), 1152 nucleotides long. The record is from RefSeq and is a predicted model, not a curated record. Lineage: Eukaryota; Metazoa; Chordata; Actinopteri; Salmoniformes; Salmonidae.
AGUGCUUGAAAAUAGGUAUCCUGUAGUUGUUAGUGCUUGAAGGUGUGUGCCUGUAGUUAGUGCUUGAAGGUGUGUGCCUGUAGUUGUUAGUGCUUGAAAAUGGGUAUCCUGUAGUUGUUAGUGCUUGAAGGUGGGUGCCUGUAGUUGUUAGUGCUUGAAGGUGGGUGCCUGUAGUUGUUAGUGCUUGAAGGUGGGUGCCUGUAGUUGUUAGUGCUUGAAAAUAGGUAUCCUGUAGUUGUUAGUGCUUGAAGGUGGGUGCCUGUAGUUGUUAGUGCUUGAAGGUGGGUGCCUGUAGUUGUUAGUGCUUGAAGGUGGGUGCCUGUAGUUGUUAGUGCUUGAAGGUGGGUGCCUGUAGUUGUUAGUGCUUGAAGGUGUGUCCCUGUAGUUGUUAGUGCUUGAAGGUGUGUGCCUGUAGUUGUUAGUGCUUGAAGGUGGGUGCCUGUAGUUGUUAGUGCUUGAAGGUGUGUGCCUGUAGUUGUUAGUGCUUGAAGGUGUGUGCCUGUAGUUGUUAGUGCUUGAAGGUGGGUGCCUGUAGUUGUUAGUGCUUGAAGGUGGGUGCCUGUAGUUGUUAGUGCUUGAAGGUGUGUCCCUGUAGUUGUUAGUGCUUGAAGGUGUGUGCCUGUAGUUGUUAGUGCUUGAAGGUGGGUGCCUGUAGUUGUUAGUGCUUGAAGGUGGGUGCCUGUAGUUGAUAGUGCUUGAAGGUGGGUGCCUGUAGUUGUUAGUGCUUGAAGGUGGGUGCCUGUAGUUGUUAGUGCUUGAAGGUGGGUGCCUGUAGUUGUUAGUGCUUGAAGGUGGGUGCCUGUAGUUGUUAGUGCUUGAAAAUGGGUAUCCUGUAGUUGUUAGUGCUUGAAGGUGGGUGCCUGUAGUUGUUAGUGCUUGAAGGCGGGUGCCUGUAGUUGAUAGUGCUUGAAGGUGUGUGCCUGUAGUGGUUAGUGCUUGAAGGUGUGUGCCUGUAGUUGUUAGUGCUUGAAGGUGUGUGCCUGUAGUUGUUAGUGCUUGAAGGUGUGUGCCUGUAGUUGUUAGUGCUUGAAGGUGUGUGCCUGUAGUUGUUAGUGCUUGAAGGUGUGUGCCUGUAGUUAGUGCUUGAAGGUGAGUGCCUGUAGUUAGUGCUUGAAGGUGUGUGCAUGUGCAUAAUAUCAUCCUUCUGUACCU